RNAcentral lists this long non-coding RNA (1250 nucleotides) under Salmo salar (Atlantic salmon). RNAcentral's name for it is "lncRNA (ENSSSAG00000107049.1)". The record is from RNAcentral. Lineage: Eukaryota; Metazoa; Chordata; Actinopteri; Salmoniformes; Salmonidae.
CUGAGCAUGAAAAGCUUCCCAAUCCGCCUUACCGGAAUACUUUGGGGUCUUAACGGAUACGGACGCAGCCGGGGGCUGGGCGCCACCAUGUUUGUUUACAUCCUGAGCCCCAGAUUCCCGCCGCGUCGACGUCACCCCUUCGGUCCGCCCACCAGAAUCCGCGCGAAACACAUUAGACGAAGCACUCAUGCCCGCUUCAGCCGCCAUCACUCUAACGUCCUCCCUCAAGCGGCCUCUGGGAUCCGACGCCCUGGCGAUCUCCUCAGCCAGAUCCUCCGACGUCCAUGCACACGCACCUCCUUGGCCAUAAUCGUCCCCUACCUCCACCUCCACUUUUGGAUUCCCACGAAGCAUUUUCAACCCCGUUCUCACCUACGUUAGCUAGCCACCCUAAUCUGCUAGCUGGCUAACUUUUAUACACGUUUUUACUUCUGACACCAGUGUAAUGACCUGACUAGAUCAUGAAGGAACAAUUGUCCAGACAGAGGAUGGAGUUAACGAAUGGACGGUUUAUUAACCCAACUUAACACAGGCUACUGUUUGGCCGUAGCCCACGCCAAAUAAAUGAAAGGUACACUACAAACCAACCGUGACCUUCUCUUGUGAAGCCCAGACGUAAGAGAGAGAACAAUGGCUAAACCCGGUCUUAACUUCCAAUGCUCCAUCCCCCUGCCCAACCCCCCUUCACGCCACUCCGCCAACCACCAGGCUGCCCGGUAUCAGAACAUUCCAGGCAUUCCCGUGAUUGGCAGAUAGCAGGUUGAUUGGCAUGACCCCGCGAACACUGAAGUCAACAAAUGAGAGUGCCUGGGGAAUGGGAGUGGAGCUAGGCACUGCAAGGCCUGGAUUAACUUCCACAUCACCAGAGGAACAGAGGAGGAGUAGGAUAACGGUACGGCUAAAGGCUAAAAGAACUGGUCGUCUAGUACGUUCAGAACAGAGAGUAAAAGGAGCAGAUUUCUGGGCACGGUGGAAUAGAUUCAAGGCAUAAUGUACAGACAAAGGUAUGGUAGGAUGUGAAUACAGUGUGGGUAAACCUGUGCAUAGAGUGACGAUGAAAGAGAUAUUGUCUCUAGAAAUAUUAUUUAAACCAGGUGAUGUCACCGCAUGUGUGGGAGGUGGAACUAAAGUGUUAACUAAGGCGUAUUGAGCAGGGCUAGAGGCUCUACAGUGAAAUGAGGCAACAAUUACUAACCAAAACAGCAAUGGACAAGGCAUAUUGACGUCAGGGAGAGGCAUGCGUAGCCGAG